GACGAACGCUGGCGGCGUGCUUAACACAUGCAAGUCGAACGGAAAGGCCUGCUUUCCCUUGUGGAUUGCGGGUACUCGAGUGGCGAACGGGUGAGUAACACGUGAGUGAUCUGCCCCCAACUUGGGUAUAAGCCUGGGAAACUGGGUCUAAUUCCCGAUAGGACUGCAGGGUGGUGCCUGUGGUGGAAAACGAUUUUCUAGUGGUUGGGGAUGAGCUCGCGGCCUAUCAGCUUGUUGGUGGGGUAAUGGCCUACCAAGGCGGCGACGGGUAGCCGGCCUGAGAGGGUGGACGGCCACAUUGGGACUGAGAUACGGCCCAGACUCCUACGAGAGGCAGCAGUGGGGAAUAUUGCACAAUGGGCGGAAGCCUGAUGCAGCGACGCCGCGUGGGGGAUGACGGCCUUCGGGUUGUAAACUCCUUUCGACCGCGAGGAAGCCACCUGGUUGGAAGGGUGGUGACGGUAGUGGUAGAAGAAGCACCGGCUAACUACGU
RNAcentral lists this ribosomal RNA (493 nucleotides) under uncultured bacterium. Its description in RNAcentral is "partial 16S ribosomal RNA". It matches the Rfam family "Bacterial small subunit ribosomal RNA", at positions 28 to 506 of the family's 1533-position model. The record is from RNAcentral.